This is a long non-coding RNA of Melospiza georgiana, 1758 nucleotides long. RefSeq lists it as uncharacterized. Lineage: Eukaryota; Metazoa; Chordata; Aves; Passeriformes; Passerellidae. The transcript has 3 exons. The record is from RefSeq and is a predicted model, not a curated record.
ACCACUGAAGGAUCCAGUGACUUUUCCUGAUGGACUUUGGAACAAGAUUUUCACACCUAGGGCUGCUGGAGUUGAAGCUACUUUGUCCUGUAUGGACCAUUAGCCUGAGAGCUGCCAGAUAUGAAACACCAGAUUGCUAAAAGAAACACCUGAAGCAGUAAAUUACUAGACUCUUCCAGCUUGGGACUGUGCAAGGCAGAAGAGCAGAAGCCAUAAGAAGUGUGUCUCCCUCCAGAACCCAGGACAUGCCCACCCUUUCAAAUGAUAGAAACUUCACUUAUGCUGGGCUACAGCACAGUUGUCCUCCUGCACCAGAUACUCUAAACUGAAAAAAUGCCACUACCAGCCAAAGAGUCUUUGGAAAGCCCAGAGCCUAAUGACUAAUUUAACCUGAGGGGGGAAGGAUGAGAAUUUUUCUUCUAAUCUUGAUGAGAGUACCACAUGGUGGUAUUCUUAGGCAAGACAAGCAUCUUUGCACUGCUUGCCUUAGAUUCAUUUAUCAUUCCUAGGCACAGCCAAUGCCCUACCACAAAGGCUUUGUAUGGAAUUUGCUACGUUUCACACAGUUCUGCUGAGCUCCGUGUUUCAUGCUCUUAGUCCCACCUGAGGUAGCAGAUGGACCCUCCCCACCUCUAGAGACUGAAUGUGAAGAGUACAGGUGACUUCUGUCUGUCCCUAUCCAAACUGAAACGAUAAGGAGAUGAGCAUAAUUCUGAAGUCUUGAGAACCCUACAGGGGCAACUGAAUGCCUGCUCUCCUGGAAGAGCCUCACAGGAUUAGCUGUGUAGCUUGGGACGCUGAGUGAGCCUGAGCAGGAAGAACCUUUGCAGCACUUGGGCAUGCACAAUAUCUGCCGAGAGGGUUUGUCACUAGAGGGAGUCACAGACUUUAAGAAAUAAGCAAACACAGCCCUGUUUGUAUUUCCAAUGGAUGAGCGCGUCACAGUUACGUCAAUGGAAAGACUCAAAAUUUCCUCUGAUUUCACUUUCAGUGUCAUUUAUAUCCUUAGCAAAUUUCCCACAAGAGUGUGCAUUCUUGCUUUCACGCUGCAUUUGGCUAGUGAGGACAGGAGUUCUUGACAUCAGCUGCCUCUCUGACGUGAUGUUCCCUUCCCUGUCCUUCCUCCUCCGCUCAGUUCCCAGCACCGUCCUGCAUGCCUCCCUUCUCUCUGCCUGAUGUUGAGCACUCUUUUCACCCUAUUUGGAAGAAAUUCAUCUCCCUAAACAGAGGAAUAUCAAUAAGGCAGACACACCUUUUUAGUGAGUGAGCUGAGCAGCUCAGUGCAGAGCCUGGUUUGGCCCGAGCCCCAUGCUGGGAUGGUGGGUUCAGUCCCUACAUGGGCCAUUCCUGUGAGAGUUGGAUUCAAUGAUCCUCGUGGGUCCCUUCCAGCUCAGAAUAUUCUGUGAGUCUGUGAAAUAGCUGAGCCAGCACAAGCUGGAGCAGAGACCACAUGGUCAGAGUGGAAGAAAAAGAUGUUUGGCCUUUUUUUUUGUCAGAAAACCUGAGAACUGAGUAGUGUGUUCAGCUGUACUGUGAAACUGCACCCAUGGUCACCUUCCCAGGUGUCCUGCAGGAACAUGCAGGGCUCCUACGUAUGCACCAUUCUUACACAGAUUAUCUUUCUUCACCCAGGUUCAAAUUAUGCAAUGCAAGCCCUUCCCUUGUAAAAUAAAAAGAAUCUUAAAGAAAGAAAAGAAAGAAUUUUCUGAUUGCCUUUCUACUUAUAAAUUUGACUUCAUUAGAAACACCCUCCUCUCA